RNAcentral lists this transfer RNA (74 nucleotides) under Flavobacteriaceae bacterium. Its description in RNAcentral is "tRNA-Leu". It matches the Rfam family "tRNA". From Rfam's summary of the family: Transfer RNA (tRNA) molecules are approximately 80 nucleotides in length. Their secondary structure includes four short double-helical elements and three loops (D, anti-codon, and T loops). The record is from RNAcentral. Lineage: Bacteria; Pseudomonadati; Bacteroidota; Flavobacteriia; Flavobacteriales; Flavobacteriaceae.
GCAGGGAUAGCCGAAUUGGNAUAGGCANCAGAUUUAGAAUCUGGAAUUUGAGAGUUCGAGUCUCUCUCCCUGUA